AGCUUUGCGCAGUGGCAGUAUUGUAGCCAAUGAGGUUUAUCCAAGGCGCGAUUAUUGCUAAUUGAAAGUGUAAGUCAUGAAAUUUCAGAUGUACAUAGUAAAAUGAAAGAAAUUGUUAGUUACUAUUUCUCAUAAUAG
RNAcentral lists this small nuclear RNA (138 nucleotides) under Vulpes vulpes (red fox). RNAcentral's name for it is "U4 spliceosomal RNA (ENSVVUG00000007646.1)". It matches the Rfam family "U4 spliceosomal RNA". Rfam says of the family: U4 small nuclear RNA (U4 snRNA) is a component of the major U2-dependent spliceosome. Lineage: Eukaryota; Metazoa; Chordata; Mammalia; Carnivora; Canidae. The record is from Rfam by way of RNAcentral.